AGCGUAGACGGAUGGACAAGUCUGAUGUGAAAGGCUGGGGCUCAACCCCGGGACUGCAUUGGAAACUGCCCGUCUUGAGUGCCGGAGAGGUAAGCGGAAUUCCUAGUGUAGCGGUGAAAUGCGCAGAUAUUAGGAGGAACACCAGUGGCGAAGGCGGCUUACUGGACGGUAACUGACGUUGAGGCUCGAAAGCGUGGGGAGCAAACA
Molecule: ribosomal RNA, 207 nt
Filed under: uncultured bacterium
Lineage: Bacteria
Description: partial 16S ribosomal RNA
Rfam family: Bacterial small subunit ribosomal RNA
Source: RNAcentral